AGUGCCUGCAUUUCCACUGUAAAUCCUUUAGGGGCUCAAUCUUGAUUUUACUUUUCCCUUGUUCUGUGUCCUCGGGAAAGUUUCUUAAGCCUCUCUGAGCCUCCCUUGCUUCCUAUGUCCUCUAGAAGUAUUGACUACCCUGCAGUGGUUAAGAGGUUUGCAUUUUAAAAUUCAAGCGUGGCAUCCAUCCCGGAAUUAGUUGGUUUUCUUUUUCUUCCCAGAUGGAUACUUAUGGAGCCUCCCUUUCUCUGCACCUCAUAGAAAACCCAGCUUAUAUUUCGCCCACAGUGGAGAGUCAAACAUCAGUGUCUUCAGAGCACAGUUGCUGAGGUCUCAGCACGUCUAUGAUUACAGCACAGGUGAUCUACCAUGGGCCUCAGACAGCAGAUCAGCAGCUCUUGGGCAACUUCUCAGGGAGUAAUUUCCCAGUGUCUUUAGGAGUCACGGGCUUGGCAUUCCAAACAAAAAAGAGGCAAAGCAAAAGCAAACAAACUAAAUGUUUAUAGUCAAGCCUAGAUAACGCUGGUGCCGCUCUCUCCAUUUGUUUGGAUUUUUGAGACUGGGUCUCGCUGUGUAUCUGCUGCCUGACGUUUGUUAGAUGGCUGAGGCUGGACCCUCGGCGUGUGCUACCAAACCCAACCUGGCACUGGAUCCUCUCUACCUGAGCAUAGCAGGAACUCUACAGAUCCUGCCUGAUGAUGGAAGGAAUGGCCUUUAAACCAAAUUCUAGCGUGUUUCAAUCUUUGUGCAAAGGUCUGGGUAUGGCCUCUCAAAAGACAGACCAGAACUAAGAAGGACCAUGUAACCUUUGCAGAAUGAAGUCUUUUGGGUAAUGCAACACAGUGACAUGACCCUGAGUGCUGAUACUUUGAUAGUGCUACGUUGGCAAAAUAAGUUCCUUUAAAACAAACAAGGAAUUGGCAUACUACAAGUGCUUACUUAGUUUUAUAUGUGGGGAGAAGUUCUUGCUGCUUCCUUAACGCAACAGAAACUUGAAAGUCAUGAAUAAAACAUAUUCUAUAAUAUA
Long non-coding RNA from Mesocricetus auratus (golden hamster), 1027 nucleotides. RefSeq lists it as uncharacterized. The transcript is spliced from 2 exons. The record is from RefSeq and is a predicted model, not a curated record. Lineage: Eukaryota; Metazoa; Chordata; Mammalia; Rodentia; Cricetidae.